AUUGAACGCUGGCGGCAGGCCUAACACAUGCAAGUCGAGCGGAUGAAGGGAGCUUGCUCCUGUCUUCAGCGGCGGACGGGUGAGUAAUGCCUAGGAAUCUGCCUUGUAGUGGGGGAUAACGUCCGUAAACGGGCGCUAAUACCGCAUCCGUCCUGAUGGAGAACGUGGUGGAUCUUCGGACCUCACGCUAUCAGCUGAGCCUAGGUCGGAUUAGCUAGUUGGUGGGGUAAAGGCCUACCAAGGCGACGAUCCGUAACUGGUCUGAGAGGAUGAUCAGUCACACUGGAACUGAGACACGGUCCAGACUCCUACGGGAGGCAGCAGUGGGGAAUAUUGGGCAAUGGGCGAAAGCCUGACCCAGCAACGCCGCGUGUGUGAAGAAGGUCUUCGGAUUGUAAAGCACUGUAAGUAGGGAGGAAGGGAAGUAAGUGAAAACAUGGAUGUUUUGACGGUACCAACAGAAUAAGCAACGGCUAACUUCGUG
This 484-nucleotide ribosomal RNA is filed under the name uncultured bacterium. RNAcentral describes it as "partial 16S ribosomal RNA". It matches the Rfam family "Bacterial small subunit ribosomal RNA", at positions 30 to 507 of the family's 1533-position model. The record is from RNAcentral.